UGCCGAAUGGUGUAAUGGUAGCACGGCUGCCUCUGGAGCAGUCUGUCAUGGUUCGAAUCCAUGUUCGGCAGCCA
RNAcentral lists this transfer RNA (74 nucleotides) under Pedosphaera parvula Ellin514. RNAcentral's name for it is "tRNA-Gln". It matches the Rfam family "tRNA". From Rfam's summary of the family: Transfer RNA (tRNA) molecules are approximately 80 nucleotides in length. The record is from RNAcentral. RNAcentral also lists the same sequence under 2 other names. Lineage: Bacteria; Pseudomonadati; Verrucomicrobiota; Pedosphaerae; Pedosphaerales; Pedosphaeraceae.